UAGGGAAUAUUGCAAAAUGGGCGAAAGCCCGAUGCAGCAACGCCGCGUGCGCGAUGAAGGCCUUCGGGUUGUAAAGCGCUUUUCGAGGGGAUGAGGAAGGACAGUACCCUCGGAAUAAGUCUCGGCUAACUACGUGCCAGCAGCCGCGGUAAAACGUAGGAGGCGAGCGUUAUCCGGAUUUACUGGGCGUAAAGCGCGUGCAGGCGGUUCGACAAGUUGGAUGUGAAAGCUCCUGGCUCAACUAGGAGAGGUCGUUCAAGACUGUCGGACUUGAGUGUGGUAGAGGGAGGUGGAAUUCCGGGUGUAGUGGUGAAAUGCGUAGAUAUCCGGAGGAACACCAGUGGCGAAAGCGGCCUCCUGGACCACAACUGACGCUCAGACGCGAAAGCUAGGGUAGCAAACGGG
RNAcentral lists this ribosomal RNA (405 nucleotides) under uncultured bacterium. RNAcentral describes it as "bacterial SSU rRNA". It matches the Rfam family "Bacterial small subunit ribosomal RNA", at positions 355 to 776 of the family's 1533-position model. The record is from RNAcentral.